UACGUAGGGUGCGAGCGUUAAUCGGAUUUACUGGGCGUAAAGCGUGCGCAGGCGGCCCGUUAAGACAGGUGUGAAAUCCCUGGGCUCAACCUAGGAAUUGCGCUUGUGACUGGCGGGCUCGAGUACGGUAGAGGGGGGGGGAAUUCCUGGUGUAGCAGUGAAAUGCGUAGAGAUCAGGAGGAACACCGAUGGCGAAGGCAGCCCCCUGGGCCUGUACUGACGCUCAUGCACGAAAGCGUGGGGAGCAAACAGU
This 253-nucleotide ribosomal RNA is filed under the name uncultured microorganism. Its description in RNAcentral is "partial 16S ribosomal RNA". It matches the Rfam family "Bacterial small subunit ribosomal RNA", at positions 524 to 776 of the family's 1533-position model. The record is from RNAcentral.